RNAcentral lists this ribosomal RNA (492 nucleotides) under uncultured bacterium. RNAcentral describes it as "partial 16S ribosomal RNA". It matches the Rfam family "Bacterial small subunit ribosomal RNA", at positions 29 to 507 of the family's 1533-position model. The record is from RNAcentral.
AGUGAACGCUGGCGAUAGGCCUAACACAUGCAAGUCGAACGGCAGCACAGUAAGAGCUUGCUCUUACGGGUGGCGAGUGGCGGACGGGUGAGGAAUACAUCGGAAUCUACUUUUUCGUGGGGGAUAACGUAGGGAAACUUACGCUAAUACCGCAUACGACCUACGGGUGAAAGCAGGGGAUCUUCGGACCUUGCGCGAUUGAAUGAGCCGAUGUCGGAUUAGCUAGUUGGCGGGGUAAAGGCCCACCAAGGCGACGAUCCGUAGCUGGUCUGAGAGGAUGAUCAGCCACACUGGAACUGAGACACGGUCCAGACUCCUACGGGAGGCAGCAGUGGGGAAUAUUGGACAAUGGGCGCAAGCCUGAUCCAGCCAUACCGCGUGGGUGAAGAAGGCCUUCGGGUUGUAGAGCCCUUUUGUUGGGAAAGAAAAGCAGCAGGUUAAUACCCCGCUGUUCUGACGGUACCCAAAGAAUAAGCACCGGCUAACUUCGUG